This 253-nucleotide ribosomal RNA is filed under the name uncultured bacterium. RNAcentral's name for it is "partial 16S ribosomal RNA". It matches the Rfam family "Bacterial small subunit ribosomal RNA", at positions 524 to 776 of the family's 1533-position model. The record is from RNAcentral.
UACGAAGGGGGCGAGCGUUGUUCGGAAUUACUGGGCGUAAAGGGCGUGUAGGCGGUUUAUUAAGUCGGGCGUGAAAGCCCAGGGCUCAACCCUGGAACUGCGCCCGAGACUGGUAAGCUUGAGUUCGGAAGAGGUGCGUGGAAUUCCCAGUGGAGAGGUGAAAUUCGUAGAGAUUGGGAAGAACACCAGCGGCGAAGGCGGCGCACUGGUCCGAUACUGACGCUGAGGCGCGAAAGCGUGGGGAGCAAACAGG